CCUACGGGAGGCAGCAGUGGGGAAUUUUGGACAAUGGGCGAAAGCCUGAUCCAGCCAUGCCGCGUGCGGGAAGAAGGCCUUCGGGUUGUAAACCGCUUUUGUCAGGGAAGAAACGGUCUGGGUUAAUACCCUGGGCUAAUGACGGUACCUGAAGAAUAAGCACCGGCUAACUACGUGCCAGCAGCCGCGGUAAUACGUAGGGUGCAAGCGUUAAUCGGGAAUUACUGGGCGUAAAGCGUGCGCAGGCGGUCCUAUAAGACAGAUGUGAAAUCCCCGGGCUCAACCUGGGAACUGCAUUUGUGACUGUAGGGCUUGAGUACGGUAGAGGGGGAUGGAAUUCCGCGUGUAGCAGUGAAAUGCGUAGAUAUGCGGAGGAACACCGAUGGCGAAGGCAAUCCCCUGGACCUGUACUGACGCUCAUGCACGAAAGCGUGGGGAGCAAACAGGAUUAGAUACCCUGGUAGUCCACGCCCUAAACGAUGUCAACUGUUGUUGGAAAGGUUCCUUUUCAGUAACGAAGCUAACGCGUGAAGUUGACCGCCUGGGGAGUACGGCCGCAAGGUUGAAACUCAAAUGAAUUGACGG
RNAcentral lists this ribosomal RNA (585 nucleotides) under uncultured bacterium. RNAcentral's name for it is "bacterial SSU rRNA". It matches the Rfam family "Bacterial small subunit ribosomal RNA", at positions 338 to 916 of the family's 1533-position model. The record is from RNAcentral.